GUCCACGCGUAAACGAUGUCUACUAGCCGUUGGAGGACUUGAUCCUUUAGUGGCGCAGCUAACGCGAUAAGUAGACCGCCUGGGGAGUACGGUCGCAAGAUUAAAACUCAAAUGAAUUGACGGGGGCCCGCACAAGCGGUGGAGCAUGUGGUUUAAUUCGAAGCAACGCGAAGAACCUUACCUACUCUUGACAUCCAGUGAACUUUUGAGAGAUCAAUUGGUGCCUUCGGGAACACUGAGACAGGUGCUGCAUGGCUGUCGUCAGCUCGUGUUGUGAAAUGUUGGGUUAAGUCCCGUAACGAGCGCAACCCUUGUCCUUAGUUACCAUCAUUAAGUUGGGGACUCUAAGGAGACUGCCGGUGACAAACCGGAGGAAGGCGGGGACGACGUCAAGUCAUCAUGGCCCUUACGAGUAGGGCUACACACGUGCUACAAUGGCAUGUACAAAGGGUUGCCAAGCCGCGAGGUGGAGCUAAUCCCAUAAAGCAUGUCGUA
This 495-nucleotide ribosomal RNA is filed under the name uncultured bacterium. RNAcentral's name for it is "bacterial SSU rRNA". It matches the Rfam family "Bacterial small subunit ribosomal RNA", at positions 793 to 1290 of the family's 1533-position model. The record is from RNAcentral.